RNAcentral lists this long non-coding RNA (1989 nucleotides) under Brassica napus (rape). Its description in RNAcentral is "long non-coding RNA (BNAP_LNC001318)". Lineage: Eukaryota; Viridiplantae; Streptophyta; Magnoliopsida; Brassicales; Brassicaceae. The record is from RNAcentral.
UCCCAUACCAAGUCGUUACGUAAGGAAAAUAGCAAACGUGGUGACAUACAUCUCGAUGCUUACUACAAUUUAGUUAUUGUUUUAGAGGAAGGGCAAAACGUGAUGACGUAGUCAGUAGACUUUGGACACGUGAAGGUGCUCUUAUUGUCGUCAUAGGCGUAAAUAUGAGCGAGCGGGCAAGCACGGUUGAAGUUCCGAGUGUACACUGUUGGCUUGCAGUUUUGCCUUGAAUUGUAGUCAAGGGUGCAGCAAAUCUCCGGCGUAUUGGACGCCUGGCACGCGCUACUACAUGCAACUGGAUCGCCUAUGGUUGAAACUCUCACAAGAUCUUUUGGGCAAGUCUUGUUCAGGUCAACCUCGCAACCACUACUGCUACAUGUGCGGCUACUCUUUGACGGUACCACCAUUAGUGGAAGGUUGUAACCGUACUCGACACUGACGGUGUGGCUGUUGACUCUGCCAUUAUCGAUUCUAAAGUAGGCAUAGGUCACCGGAGCCCAACUGUAUGAGCCGGGACACUCGAUCUUGCCGGAUUCACAGUCUCCAGUGGCGCACUUAAGUUAUACAUAAUUUUCAUAAAAUAUAUUUACAUAUCUAAGAAAACAACCACCUAAAUGCAAAUAAGAAAUUAGUUAAAAUUUUAAAUAUUUAGAAUAAAAAUAUUAGAGUUGAAUUCAAAGAUGCAAUCCAAUUUACCGAACUGAUGACUAAAUCAACUCUCGCAACAACAAAAUCGAUUAGAUAUAACAGAUAUAAAAUCAUAUGUAUAAUUAAAAUAAUAUAAUAUUAUUAAUAUAAAUGAUGCAUACAAAUUAUAAAUUAAUUUAAAAUUAAAAGUAAAUAACAAUCAAUUAUUAUAGUAUAUUUACUUAAGAAAUAUUUAUACACGCACACGGGAAAAUUACCUAGCUAUAUAUUUAUAUAUAUAUAUAUAUAUAUUUAUACAGUAUUUAGCAUAAGUAUAUUAUUUAUAUUGUAAUAAUUAUUUGGAUCAAUAUUUCCAAUAUUAUUUAUAUUGUAAUAAUUAUUUUGAUCUUAUUUAAUAUUGUAAUAAUUAUUUGGAUCAAUAUUUCCAAUAAAAAUUCAGAGAAAUUGGCUAUAAUAUUAGUCAUUAUAAUCAUAAACUAAAUAUAAGAUAAACAUAAUUAUGAUAUUAUCGGUAAAUAUUGGUAAUAUCAUUUUUAUAUCUUUUUUAUUAAUUAAUGUCCUAAAUCUCAUGAGGUUAAUGUUUAUUAAUUAUCUUAAAUAUUAUAAUAAAUGUAUAUAUAUUAAAAUAAAAGUUUUAAUAAAAUAAUAAUAAUGAAACUAAUGAUUUAUCCUAAAAUCAUGGAGAAAAUUACAUAUAAGCAAAUUCACUUCUCAAAUAAUAGUAUAGAUAGAUAGAUUCAGAUCGGAUAUCCGGCUUUCAAAAAAAUAAUAUUUAUGAUUUGCUUCGUAAAGAUUUUUACGGAUAUCACAUUUUGCUAUUUGCUUUGAUUUGAAACUUUAGAGAUAUUCGAAAUUUUCAGAUCAAAUCGAACAAAAUAACGAAUUGGAUCAAAUUUAAAAGAUAAUUUGUCCAGCCCUAAAGAUAAUUUUUACGGAUAUCACAUUGUCUAUAUGGAUUUGAGCAGUAUCAUAGAUAAAUUUAGUCAUGCAAAUCCAAAUUUGUUAUAUCUUACUUAUUAUCUUUUCUUACAUCAAAGGCACCACAUGCUAUAAAUUAUGCUCCCAUACCAAGUCGUUACGUAAGGAAAAUAGCAAACGUGGUGACAUACAUCUCGAUGCUUACUACAAUUUAGUUAUUGUUUUAGAGGAAGGGCAAAACGUGAUGACGUAGUCAGUAGACUUUGGACACGUGAAGGUGCUCUUAUUGUCGUCAUAGGCGUAAAUAUGAGCGAGCGGGCAAGCACGGUUGAAGUUCCGAGUGUACACUGUUGGCUUGCAGUUUUGCCUUGAAUUGUAGUCAAGGGUGCAGCAAAUCUCCGGCGUAUUGGACGCCUGGCACGC